UACGGGGGGGGCAAGCGUUGUUCGGAAUUACUGGGCGUAAAGGGCGCGUAGGCGGCCUGCUAAGUCGGAUGUGAAAGCCCCCCGGCUCAACUGGGGAGGGUCACGCGAUACUGUUCGACUCGAAGGCAGGAGAGGGUAGUGGAAUUCCCGGUGUAGUGGUGAAAUGCGUAGAUAUCGGGAGGAACACCAGUGGCGAAGGCGACUACCUGGCCUGUUCUUGACGCUGAGGCGCGAAAGCUAGGGUAGCAAACGGG
This 254-nucleotide ribosomal RNA is filed under the name uncultured bacterium. Its description in RNAcentral is "partial 16S ribosomal RNA". It matches the Rfam family "Bacterial small subunit ribosomal RNA", at positions 524 to 776 of the family's 1533-position model. The record is from RNAcentral.